This is a non-coding RNA of Caerostris darwini, 112 nucleotides long. The record is from the annotation of a GenBank genome assembly. Lineage: Eukaryota; Metazoa; Arthropoda; Arachnida; Araneae; Araneidae.
AACGGCCAUACCAUGCUGAAUAUACCGGUUCUCGUUAGAUCACCGAAGUCAAGCAUCAUUGGGUGAGGUCAGUAUUUGAGCGGGUGACCACCUGGGAACACCGCGUGCCGUU